This 745-nucleotide ribosomal RNA is filed under the name uncultured bacterium. RNAcentral's name for it is "bacterial SSU rRNA". It matches the Rfam family "Bacterial small subunit ribosomal RNA", at positions 33 to 773 of the family's 1533-position model. The record is from RNAcentral.
ACGCUGGCGGCAGGCCUAACACAUGCAAGUCGAGCGGUAGAGAGAAGCUUGCUUCUCUUGAGAGCGGCGGACGGGUGAGUAAUGCCUAGGAAUCUGCCUGGUAGUGGGGGAUAACGUUCGGAAACGGACGCUAAUACCGCAUACGUCCUACGGGAGAAAGCAGGGGACCUUCGGGCCUUGCGCUAUCAGAUGAGCCUAGGUCGGAUUAGCUAGUUGGUGGGGUAAUGGCUCACCAAGGCGACGAUCCGUAACUGGUCUGAGAGGAUGAUCAGUCACACUGGAACUGAGACACGGUCCAGACUCCUACGGGAGGCAGCAGUGGGGAAUAUUGGACAAUGGGCGAAAGCCUGAUCCAGCCAUGCCGCGUGUGUGAAGAAGGUCUUCGGAUUGUAAAGCACUUUAAGUUGGGAGGAAGGGCAGUAAAUUAAUACUUUGCUGUUUUGACGUUACCGACAGAAUAAGCACCGGCUAACUCUGUGCCAGCAGCCGCGGUAAUACAGAGGGUGCAAGCGUUAAUCGGAAUUACUGGGCGUAAAGCGCGCGUAGGUGGUUCGUUAAGUUGGAUGUGAAAUCCCCGGGCUCAACCUGGGAGCUGCACUCAAAACUGACGAGCUAGAGUAUGGUAGAGGGUGGUGGAAUUUCCUGUGUAGCGGUGAGAUGCGUAGAUAUAGGAAGGAACACCAGUGGCGAAGGCGACCACCUGGACUAAUACUGACACUGAGGUGCGAAAGCGUGGGGAGCAAAC